RNAcentral lists this long non-coding RNA (362 nucleotides) under Citrus maxima (pomelo). RNAcentral's name for it is "long non-coding RNA (CMAX_LNC002567)". The record is from RNAcentral. Lineage: Eukaryota; Viridiplantae; Streptophyta; Magnoliopsida; Sapindales; Rutaceae.
GGGAUAACUGUAGUUCUUCAAGUGGUGAUGGUGGAGUUUUUAAAGAAUUUUGCUGACACAGAGAGGUUGAAUUGGCAGCAAUGGUUAGCUUGUAUCGCAAUGGCAGCCUUCACAUGGCCAAUUGGUUGGGCUGUGAAGUUUAUACCUGUUACAGAGAAACCAAUAUUCAGUUACCUCAAGCGGUUAAGAUUGAUAUUCACAAAGAUUAAGCAAACAAUCUACCACAAAGAAGCAUCUUCCUUCAGGCUCGGAACAGCAUGAGGAAUAUGGUGAGGUUCUGAACCGGCAAGGGCAUACCUGGGAAGAUUUAUAUCCCUGGGUGGCUCAGGAUUGAGCGUAUCUUUCUUUCUGUGAAAUCAAAA